ACACUCCUCUGCUUAUUACAACAGGCUGGGGCCAACGCCAGCGAUUCAGAAGUGGCCGAGGGUCGCUCCCAGGUUUGGACCCCGAUUCAGGCCCGGCUUGGCCAGCGGGCACGAAGCGGAGAGCGACCGGCCUGUCCGAGAGUGCGGGGCCGCGGGGCUGCAGCUCAGCGAGCGCGGGCACAAUUCAGCCGCCAAGAGUCUUCACCCGGAAAACCCAACUCUUCCAGGGAAAACGGAGGGAGAAGAAGUGAAGGCGAGACCUACAUAAACUUAGGGCCAAUGCAGAGCUGUGCCCACCAGUCCUCGGGCUGAGCUCUCCCUCCAGCUCGCGGGUGGCUUUGCACAAAGAAUACUUUGGUUCGCAACGACCUCCGCUUGCAACAUCUGUUUGUAACUUUGGGGAACCAGGGCGCCGGCCGGGAAGACCCGCUAAGUGCGACGGGCCUUGGUCCGCCGCCGGGCAGCACCCACGAGGCAGGGGCUCGGAGAGGCUGCCUUCGAUCAGAGUCCACGGACCUCGUGCCCCCGAACAGCCCCGCCCUGAGGGUGACCCGGGGUCCGCCGCCGCCGCGCGCGACCGCUUCGGCGGGCAGCCCCCCGGCUCCCAGAUCGCGGGGUUCCUGCAUGAGGGCCGGCGCGGGACAGCCAGGCCCUCCCGGUCCCGGGACAGCGGGCCUGGGGUUUGGGAGGGAGGGCUCUGCCUCUCGGGCCGCGGCAGCUCGGCCGCCCCACACUGCGCGACCUGCAGAACAGGUGUGUGUCCCCGCUCGCUCGGCGCCCGGCCCCGUCUGUCACUGGCGGCGCGGCGCCGCCCCGUCCUCGGCCUUCCCCCGCGCCCCGGGGUACCGCGAGCGAACUCACGCCACUUUCGCCAGGUUUGCGCGGGCCGGGAGGGCCAGGCACGUAAGACGCCUGCAUCCUUUUUCCUCGACGCUCUUUCUGCCUUUCCCCCCUUGGCUCCCUUUCCAUUUGCAGCGAGAAGCCCCGAGCCGCGCGGAGGAGGAGACCGGCACCCCUGCCUGUUCUGUUCCCUCCAGCCUGACCCGCCGCUUCCCCCCAGCCCGCCCUUUUUUCCUCUGUAUUUUUCCUUUCUUUCCCCUUUGCCCUUCAAGCCGAGUCCGGGGCGGAAGCGAGAGGCGAGACUUGGCUGGUGGGCAUCGUGGGCAGAGAGCGCCCGUGGGCCGACAGCGCCUCUGAGCUGCUCCUGGGCAGGAGGUGGCGCGGGCCAGAGACCCCGGACUGCCCGCCCGGCCCGGCAGGCCUGAGUCCCAUUGCAAGCUUCCCCACUCCAUGCGCCCGCGCGGUGCGACGCGCGCCCGGGUCGGGGCUCGGGCCCUGGUCCUCCGCUGGAACCGUGGCCAGGGCCCGAGUGAGCGCGUUCGGAACGGAAGCGAGAGCUCUUCCCCUGCCUCUGGGCAGCCAAAGCCCCCGCUACUUCGGGGUUCCCGCGCGCACCCUGGCCGGCCGGGCUCCACCCGGGCCUGGAGCGCUUGGAGGGGUUCCUGGAGCGGAGGAGAGGCCGGGCAUCCCCUCGGAUGGCCUCAUCACCGUGGGCGGCCUCGCUCGGGGGCCACACGGAAGCUCUCCGCCCAAGUUUGUUGUGCCCUGGAAGAAAAGGCUUUCCCUUACAAAGCACAAAGGCGAAACGCUCAGGACGAGCCCUGAAAAGCCCGGGGCUGGGGAGGGGGGCGGCCAGAGCCUUGGGAGCGCGGCAGCGGGGCUGGUCUCCGGGCAGAGAGGGUCGCUCCGCCCGGGCUGGGCUGACAAGCGCGGCGAGGGUGGCCGCAGGACCACAGCGCCCGGCGUGCUCGCUGAAAAGUUUUGUUCUCAAGUCGGAGAAAGAGAAAUUGUUACUCAGUUUAAGGCCGAUCUAAGAUAAAAAAUAAAACUAAAAAAGAGCCACGCGCCGCUGUCUGUACCGCGAGCCUCACACCCUGCUCCGCAGAACCGCUGGGAGAGAGUCCCGGCCCCGAAAAUCCCGGGAGACCCCCCACGGGUCCGGCUGCUCGGAGGCCAGGCAGGCGGGCCGAGCGGAGCGGGGAGUUCAUCCGCUCCGUUUGGAGCGGUCCACCUCCCGGCCAGCACCUGCCUCCUUCCUGCCCGCGGCGGCUUCCCCCACCCCACCCCCACCCCUCCACGCCCUUCACCCCCCACCCCCUCCAGGAAAGUAAGCCGAGCCCCGGGGGGCCCCGGCUUCCAGCCUCUCUCCGGCGCCCCGCCGGGCCAGCCGGGUGGUGGUGGGGGGGCGGCGGUCGGGGUCCUUUCUCAUUCGGAUAGCCCCUUCCCCGACCCGCCCGCCGCCUCGGGCUCCCCGCUGAGUACCACCCGGCCGGGGCCCCGCCGGAAAUCACCGCGGGAUCCACAGGGGAGCUGGGCGAGAGGGCAUGCUCGCCUUCGACCCAAACAAAGUGGGAAUGCGGCUUCUUAAAGGAUGGAGAAAAGAAGUCCCGCUCCCUUCCCCUGCUCCCUCUGCCCCCUCGCCCUCCCCACUUGCCCAAUUCCCGCGUCUGGUCCCUCCCCCUCGCACCCCCCAAAUAAAACACAUUAAGGAAAACUCAAGACGAAAGUUUCAGGGAGGCAGCGCACGGAGUGCGCAGGGCACAGAUGCCGGCAGGCACCGUCGCCCAGACCUGAGACGCGCCCGUCCAGGUCUCUGCCCCUGCCCCUGCCGGGGGGCGGCGGUGGGGGGAGCCGCCCGGAUCCCCAGGAAACGCACCCGGAAAGUUAGCCAGGCUCCCGAGCAACCCCGCCGCCCUCGCACCCACCCCUCUGGCGUCCGCACACACAUCCACACCCCUUCCUGGUCGCUACUUGCCGUGGAAAUUCCUUGGGAGACCGGUCGCACUUUUCAGGACGCGGAGCGAAGGAGGCGGUGAGUGUGGUGCAUGAAAAGUCCCGGGCGCGCAGAGCCGGCGGAGGCAGCGGCGGCGGCGGCGGCAGCGGCAGCAGCAG
RNAcentral lists this long non-coding RNA (2952 nucleotides) under Sus scrofa (pig). Its description in RNAcentral is "lncRNA (ENSSSCG00040049133.1)". The record is from RNAcentral. Lineage: Eukaryota; Metazoa; Chordata; Mammalia; Artiodactyla; Suidae.